RNAcentral lists this ribosomal RNA (251 nucleotides) under Paralicella caperesca. RNAcentral's name for it is "partial 16S ribosomal RNA". The stretch from base 105 to 251 matches the Rfam family "Bacterial large subunit ribosomal RNA", at positions 2473 to 2620 of the family's 2925-position model. The record is from RNAcentral. Lineage: Eukaryota; Metazoa; Arthropoda; Malacostraca; Amphipoda; Lysianassidae.
UUAACUGGGGUAGAUAUUUCAAUUAAAUUGAAGUAAAUUUUACAAUAUUAAAUAAAUGGUUUAAGUUCUUUUAUAUAAGGAAAAUUAGUAUUAGUUACUUUAGGGAUAACAGCGUUAUAUUUUUGGAGAGAUCUUAUCUAUAAAAAUGAUUGCGACCUCGAUGUUGAAUUAAAAUUACUUUAUAAAGUAGAAUAUAUAUAAGUAGGUUUGUUCAACCUUUAAAUUUUUACAUGAUCAGAGUUCAGACCGGA